GCCAGUGUGGCCUAGUGGUUUGAGUGUCUGACUAUGACCCUGGAGACCAGGCUUUGAUUCCCCGCUUGGCCA
Phrynosoma platyrhinos (Desert horned lizard) is the source of this 72-nucleotide non-coding RNA. NCBI's taxonomy places the organism in Eukaryota, Metazoa, Chordata, Lepidosauria, Squamata, Phrynosomatidae. The record is from the annotation of a GenBank genome assembly.